CAGCCGCCACGGUAAAACGUAGGUGGCAAGCGUUGUCCGGAAUUAUUGGGCGUAAAGGGCUCGCAGGCGGUUUCUUAAGUCUGAUGUGAAAGCCCCCGGCUCAACCGGGGAGGGUCAUUGGAGACUGGGAAACUUGGGUGCAGAAGAGGAGAGUGGAAUUCCACGUGUAGCGGUGAAAUGCGUAGAGAUGUGGAGGAACACCAGUGGCGAAGGCGACUCUCUGGUCUGUAACUGACGCUGAGGAGCGAAAGCGUGGGGAGCGAACAGGAUUAGAUACCCCUGUAGUCCCUGUCUCUUAUAA
RNAcentral lists this ribosomal RNA (301 nucleotides) under uncultured bacterium. Its description in RNAcentral is "partial 16S ribosomal RNA". It matches the Rfam family "Bacterial small subunit ribosomal RNA", at positions 509 to 809 of the family's 1533-position model. The record is from RNAcentral.